AAAUAUUCCUCUCAUUAUACAGGUGGGCGCCUAUUUAAACUAAGGCUGAAAAUAUUCCUCUCAUUAUACAGGUGGGCGCCUAUUUAAACUAAGACUGAAAAGUAUUCCUCUCAUUAUACAGGUGGGCGCCUAUUUAAACUAAGACUGAAAAGUAUUCCUCUCGUUAUACAAGUGGGCGCCUAUUUAAACUAAGACUGAAAAGUAUUCCUCUCAUUAUACAGGUGGGCGCCUAUUUAAACUAAGACAUGAAAAGUAUUCCUCUCGUUAUACAGGUGGGCGCCUAUUUAAACUAAGACAUGAAAAGUAUUCCUCUCGUUAUACAGGUGGGCGCCUAUUUAAACUAAGACUGAAAAUAUUCCUCUCGUUAUAC
RNAcentral lists this long non-coding RNA (370 nucleotides) under Nicotiana tabacum (common tobacco). RNAcentral's name for it is "long non-coding RNA (NTAB_LNC013377)". The record is from RNAcentral. Lineage: Eukaryota; Viridiplantae; Streptophyta; Magnoliopsida; Solanales; Solanaceae.